AAACGCGUCUUAUCUUAAUUCAGCGGUCUCAUCCAUCUGGACGCUGCUCACCAUUUCGCACGUUGACAAGAGAAGUUUCAGAGGGAACACACAGCGGGGGUAGCGGGCGAGAGAGUAAGGGCGACGCUGCAGUGGAUCGAUCGAUCGACACAUCUCUUUCCUCGUGCCCACUCCUCUCCCUCGUCUUCUUAUUCGACACGCUAUCCACCCAUUUUGCAGCAAGUGGGCACCUCAGACUCUCUCCACACGUGCGCGGCACACACACACACACACACACAGAGACGCCUCUCCUUUCUCUUUUUGUUUCCCGCCUGCUCUCUCGCUUUCCCUUCAUCCCCACAUCCGUUAUCGACUGACGAGCGCGCGCCAGCGACAGAGAGGGGGUGGGGAAAAAAAGGGGCAACAAGUGGGAGGUCCAGCUUAGAUACUUUUUUUUUUCGAACACCUUGCGAGCACGUCGACAGCGCAUACGCCAUAAACGUUCCGUCGCCACCAUAAAACAACAACAGGAUAGAUAGUGCACACCGUGUCCUUCCUCGUUCACACUACCGUGUCUUUCUCUGUCUCCCUCUCUCUGUCCACCGGUGUGUGUGUGUGCGAGAGAGAGAGCGAGAAGCGCAGGCGUGUUUUGCGGACGCUUUGGAGGGAAAAACGGCGAUACGCGAAUGACAUACCACAGACAGACGCACUCAUUCGCUUACACAAACACAGUGAUCGUUAGAAGAUCACUGCUGGGAGGACCCGAGCGAUGUUUGCGGCGUGUGAUCCGAACCGCGUGCCUGUCGCGCCGUCGGUCAAGAUCCCAACACUCAGCUCCCCUAACGGCGGCGAUGCGGCGGUGAAAGUGACUGACUACUCGCCCUCCACAAGCAUGAAGCGUCGUCACGCUGCUACUCGACCGCCCGGGACGUUCGCCGCCGCUGAGGGUGCAUCACCGUUGCCAGCCACAGAGCUUUGUGUGCAUGAAUGCAGCACCGAGACUGCUGCACUGGUGGAGUCGCCGCCAUGGCACGAGUGGGGGGAGAGCAGCGGUUGCGGCGAUGACGGCAAGUUGCACAAUGAGCUUUUUCAGCUAGAGGAGACGGCACCGAAGAGGGGUGGGGCUCUGCAAACCACGCCUGCCGAUGCGCUUUCCAAGUCGUCGUCUGUGAUUGGAUCGGGUGCGCUCCAAACCAACCUGCCCAUUGGUGAGCUGCUUCUGCAGAAAGAGGAGUUCUUGGAGCGGCUCGUGCAACGCGUGCGCGCGAGUUGCGCGGGUGUGCCGCCGGAGCACAGCGCCAGCACUUGCAACGCGGAACAAGAUGCGGAGCCUGGUGCGGUGCGUCAUCGGGAAACUUCUCCGCCGCCUCGGCGGCUCUCGCUUCCCGGCGUCGAACUUGCUGACGGCACAGGGGUACGCUCAAGCGAUGCAGGCCAUCGAUCGUUGGGGCGAUCGCGGUCGCGUAGUCUGUCGCUUAUGUCGGCCUCCUCCACGGUGAAAGGAUCGACCCUGGCAACUGCGGCGGAGCCGGUGCAAGCCCAAGCUGACGCUCUUGCUGGCCGAAGAGUUCGAGCAGCUGCAUCUGCAACGCAUCAGCGGUCCCGUGCCACUUCGCCCGAUCCUCGACCGCCAUCUACCGACUUGUACGCGACGGGAGGAGCACUGCGGAGCAGCCUGCAGUACGGCCGCUGUUCUGGCGUAUCGCGGGGUCGGCGGUCUCUGAGCGCGGAGCGGCCUGACCACAGCGAUACGUGCGCGCCAUUGGAUACUGAAAUGCAAGAAACCGAAGAGGUGGUGAACAGCUUCUGGGGUCGUGCGGCCGCGGCGUCGACUGGGACACCCGGCGCAGCAGCAUGCAGGAGCCUCAGCGGUAUCCGCUCGGAGUCUGUGCACAACCAGCUCUCACACCCACAAUGGAAUCCACAUCCAGUACAGGCGGCUCGUCCGGCCUGGAAUCAGCGACAGCCGCAGAGAAAGCAGCGACCUGUGGUGAGCGUGCCAGGAUCGAAGCCGCCGUCGUCGGCUCGCCGUUGCGCGUCGCGCAGCCCCGAGACGUCCACCAGUGCGCAGGGGCUGCGCGGCGCCAGGUCGGAAGAAAGGGACUCUACAGGGGCUUCUCACCGCAGAGCCGGGCGUGCUCUGAGGCGCACCGACUCUUUGUCACUGCAGCUGAAGCAGAAGCAGACGACAGCGCCGCGUCGCGCUGCCGGGCAAUCGCCAGGGGGAACUGCCGCCUCCCCCUUGUCUCCGCCAUCUGCGCGCGCGCUCUUUCAGAUCCACGACGCACACAGCAUAGCGAAGACCACGUCACCGCUGGGAAAGGAGCAGGAGACGGCUCUGCAGAGCCAGUGCGACGCGGCGCUGGCACGGGCGACUCAGGCAGAGCGGCAGUGCAACAUUCUCUCCCACGCCCUGGAGCAGCUGCUCGUCGACCACGCGGCCGAGAAAGCCGCGUGGGAGGUGCGGCACGCAGCGCUCGAGCAGCGGCUGGUCUCAAUCACGGAGUGGAUUAGCGGUAUUGAUGCCGAGGCGAACUUGGACGCAGCGCCCCAGGAAGCGUCAAUCACACGAACGCCAGAGACGGCGACCUCGGACACAACCACACCGCAGAUGUUUACCAAACGAAACGAGGUGGGUGACGCGGCUCUCCUCGCUGCCACGAAGAACACUGCUUGGGAGGAAGAUGUAGACAUUGUUGAUCUUACCAACAACAGCAGUCCCCUUCCGGGUGCCCCUGGCGCAACUCCCACGCCGGCCCGUCACGACAGCGCCAACGCUGACUGCGGGAAUGCUUCCACAUGUCAGGUGCACCUGCCGCCAUCGCCACCACUAAUCCUGCACAUGCACGCCGCCGCCACCCAGUAGCGAUAUGAUUGACGGAGCGGCCGCACUGCACGUUUCCCUAUUCGCUACUUUGCAUGACACUGUGUAUAGCAUGUCAAGGGGAGGGGAAGGGGGAUGCGCGUCUGUAUGGCUCUCUCUGUGUGCGUAUGCGCUGGAGCAACCUUUACACAAGGUGAAGUCGUUAUUUGUCUAAGUGGUUUUGACGACCGAAGGCGGCUCACAACACAGGCCCCGACGCCACUACCUACACAACAGCUUCACCUUGCUUAGAGAUUGCUCCAGCGCAUCAUAUUACAAGCACAGUCACACGGGCAUGCAUGGAAGCGUGCUUUUCUUUUUUCUCUUUUUGGUCUCUUGGCUGCCUACACCGAUAGCGCGCCCAUCCGUGUACAUGGCAGAUUACUUGUCGGCCGUCACCAUGACAUCCUCCGCGCACUCUGUGAAUCUCCGCCUCAUAGCUCGGCCAGUAUCUUUCCCUCCUUCUUUUCGUUCUGGUUGUUUGCGCGGUUCUCACACUCCUACCGUUUUCUUUCUAG
Molecule: unclassified non-coding RNA, 3360 nt
Filed under: Leishmania donovani
Lineage: Eukaryota; Euglenozoa; Kinetoplastea; Trypanosomatida; Trypanosomatidae
Description: gene:LdHU3.27.3330(CDS-product:hypothetical_prote in_conserved)
Source: RNAcentral